GUUAGCUCUGUUGGUCAGAGCGUGGUGCUGAUAAUGCCAAGGUCGCAGGUUCAAACCCUAUAUGGGCCA
Non-coding RNA from Podarcis lilfordi (Lilford's wall lizard), 69 nucleotides. NCBI's taxonomy places the organism in Eukaryota, Metazoa, Chordata, Lepidosauria, Squamata, Lacertidae. The record is from the annotation of a GenBank genome assembly.